Molecule: ribosomal RNA, 449 nt
Filed under: Blastocystis sp.
Lineage: Eukaryota; Bigyra; Opalinata; Blastocystidae
Description: bacterial SSU rRNA
Rfam family: Eukaryotic small subunit ribosomal RNA
Source: RNAcentral
ACAAUGCGGAACAAUGUUUUGCAAUUGGAUUGAGAACAACGUACAAACCUUAUCGAUAAACAAUUGGAGGGCAAGUCUGGUGCCAGCAGCCGCGGUAAUUCCAGCUCCAAUAGCGUAUAUUAACGUUGUUGCAGUUAAAAAGCUCGUAGUUGAAAUGAAGGGUAGUUGUGUAAUGAAUACAUUCGUGUAUUUUGUUAUUCAAGUACCCUCCUUCUAAAUUCGAUAUAUGAGUAUUAAUUUACUUGUAUAUGGUUUUAGACCUUUACUGUGAGAAAAUUAGAGUGUUCAAAGCAGGCAUUUGCUUGAAUAUAUUAGCAUGGAAUAAUCAUGUAUGAUUUUCAUGAUGUAUUUGAUUGGUUUGGUUCAUGAGAAUAAGAUUAAAAGGGACAGUUGGGGGUAUUCAUAUUCAAUAGUCAGAGGUGAAAUUCUCGGAUUUAUGGAAGAUGAAC